Molecule: long non-coding RNA, 478 nt
Filed under: Carica papaya (papaya)
Lineage: Eukaryota; Viridiplantae; Streptophyta; Magnoliopsida; Brassicales; Caricaceae
Description: long non-coding RNA (CPAP_LNC011469)
Source: RNAcentral
CAUAUUUGAACUUUCCACAAUUGGCCAGCCAAUCAUCCACAUGUUUUUGAGUGAAAACUUGGAGCAACUCUUUAAGCUUCUUUGCAUUUGAUCUUGUUAUUGGUCCGCUGAAAUUUUUCAGGUUUGGAACUCUAUUUGUGUUUAUAUCAUUUGAAAUUUACUCCAAGUCACCUUUUAAUAUUCUUUGAGUAUCUUUAACGUUUUUAGUAUUGUUUGCAUCAUUUCCCCUCCCCUCAAAAGGAUUCGUCCUUGAAUCAAUUCUUGCAUCAAUUUUAAAAUGGGAUAAAUCAGAUAUGUUAAAUGUAGCCGAAACACUAUCCUCACCUGAUAGGUCCACUUUGUAGGCAAUUUCAUUGAUUUUGGCUAUGACUUGAAAUGGACCAUCCCCACGAGCAUCCAACUUAGAUUUUCGUUUUGAUGGAAAUCGUUCCUUGGGCAUAUGAACCCACACCCAAUCUCCAGGCAAUGAAAUCUUGCG